GCGCGGCCGUCAAGACCAGAGGACGCCAUGGGCGCCUGCCUUGGAGCUCCCCUGCCAUGGACCUGAUCUGGCCGUCAACUCGCCACCCCAUGCGUGCUCCGGAUCCGGCCGAUCCCGCGCCGCUCAUGCCCUGGUGGCCCUGCCGACAUCGUCGCCUAGGUGAGCAGCAGCUGCACUGCGACGUUGCCCGCCUCCUGUCUCCCUCUCUAUCUCUCCCCUAUCUCUCUCUGAACCCUCUCUAUUUUCUUCAACAGGAAGACCACCAUGCCCGCUGCAGGAGCUUCGAGCCGGAUCUGGCCCCUCUCCGACCUCCCUCGCCGUCCUUCAUCCGUUCCCGAUAUCCUCCCGGCGCCGGGAGCUCAGGCGAGCACCGCCACAAGACCCUGCCUCCUCUGCCCCGUAGCCCGCCAUGGAGGUCGCCGCCUCUCCCGUCUCGAUCCGUCUGCGGCCGGAUCCACGGCGGAGC
RNAcentral lists this long non-coding RNA (466 nucleotides) under Triticum aestivum (bread wheat). Its description in RNAcentral is "long non-coding RNA (TAES_LNC023331)". The record is from RNAcentral. Lineage: Eukaryota; Viridiplantae; Streptophyta; Magnoliopsida; Poales; Poaceae.